CCACGUGUCAGUCGGGCCUACUUAUCAACCCCUAUAUAAACCCCCUGCUUCUCUUCUUUCCUUUUCUCUCCCUCGUUUUGUCUCUCUCUCUCUCUCUCAAUUCGCCGUCGUUUAAUCGGCGAAUGUUCGAAUUUAUUUUUAUUUAUUAAAUAUUUUUGACUUUUUUGUGAACACGUUAGAGUCGACAGAUCAGUUGAAAGUUUCUGGUCAGAGUCAGUUAUGACCGUCUGAUUGCUCUUGUGAUCUCCGUCAUUUGCUGAAUUUACUUUUCCCCAAGAGGUAUAAUCCAUUUUGCUCUACCAAUUCUCGUCGAGCUUUGUUGUGUCUUCUUUUUCUUGCCUGAUUUGGCAUCUGGUAUGAGAAUGUACAGAGUUUUGAUAGGGAACUUGCUUCUGCAUUGACGCGUUGAUUUGUCGGCGGGUUUUUUUUUUGGUCGAUUAA
RNAcentral lists this long non-coding RNA (441 nucleotides) under Carica papaya (papaya). RNAcentral's name for it is "long non-coding RNA (CPAP_LNC014561)". Lineage: Eukaryota; Viridiplantae; Streptophyta; Magnoliopsida; Brassicales; Caricaceae. The record is from RNAcentral.